AGAGUUUGAUCAUGGCUCAGGACGAACGCUGGCGGCGUGCCUAAUACAUGCAAGUCGAGCGAACAGAGAAGGAGCUUGCUCCUUUGACGUUAGCGGCGGACGGGUGAGUAACACGUGGGCAACCUACCCUAUAGUUUGGGAUAACUCCGGGAAACCGGGGCUAAUACCGAAUAAUCUAGUUCACCUCAUGGUGAACUAUU
RNAcentral lists this ribosomal RNA (200 nucleotides) under uncultured bacterium. RNAcentral's name for it is "partial 16S ribosomal RNA". It matches the Rfam family "Bacterial small subunit ribosomal RNA", at positions 8 to 202 of the family's 1533-position model. The record is from RNAcentral.